This 327-nucleotide unclassified non-coding RNA is filed under the name Hevea brasiliensis (rubber tree). The record is from RNAcentral. Lineage: Eukaryota; Viridiplantae; Streptophyta; Magnoliopsida; Malpighiales; Euphorbiaceae.
UGAUAACAAUUAUGAUGAUUUAUCACAAGGUUUCUAUCAUAAACUUGGUGAAAAUUCCAAUAUGUCAAUUGACAGUUAUGAUAGCUUGCAAACAAGCAAUGGUGGAGGGUCUGUUGCAAUGUCCAUAGAAAGUAUUGGGUCAAAUGAUUCCCACACUCGCAUUUUGAAUCACCAAGGACUGCGGCGGCAUGCUAAUGACAAUUACUCUGUUCAACAAAGUGUUAACCGUAGAGGAAGAGUCCCACAUGCAUUGAAUGAUGAUGCAUUGGCCCAUGCACUAAUGGAUAGCAGUUCCCCAACAGAGGGCCUUGAGAAUUUUGAUGAGUG